Molecule: ribosomal RNA, 402 nt
Filed under: uncultured bacterium
Lineage: Bacteria
Description: bacterial SSU rRNA
Rfam family: Bacterial small subunit ribosomal RNA
Source: RNAcentral
UCGGGAAUUUUGGGCAAUGGGCGAAAGCCUGACCCAGCAACGCCGCGUGAGGGAUGAAGUAUUUCGGUAUGUAAACCUCGAAAGAAUGGGAAGAAUAAAUGACGGUACCAUUUAUAAGCUCCGGCUAACUACGUGCCAGCAGCCGCGGUAAUACGUAGGGAGCAAGCGUUGUUCGGAUUUACUGGGCGUCAAGGGCGCGUAGGCGGCGCGGUAAGUCACUUGUGAAAUCUCUGAGCUUAACUCAGAACGACCAAGUGAUACUGCUGUGCUAGAGUGCGGAAGAGGCAACCGGAAUUCUUGGUGUAGCGGUGAAAUGCGUAGAUAUCAAGAGGAACACCUGAGGCGAAGGCGGGUUGCUGGGCCGACACUGACGCUGAUGCGCGAAAGCCAGGGGAGCAAACA